Molecule: long non-coding RNA, 3507 nt
Organism: Lineus longissimus
Lineage: Eukaryota; Metazoa; Nemertea; Pilidiophora; Heteronemertea; Lineidae
Exons: 8
Source: RefSeq, a predicted model, not a curated record
AUUGGCCAAAGGCUAUAUUUCAGCAUACCCACUGUGACCAGUCUAAAGUCGAAAAGAUGGAAGAUUUAUUUUGCAACACGAUGCUUCAAACCCUCUCCGCAAUUGCAACUGAAGAAUCUUGAAUGACUUGCAAGGAUGACACAACCUUGCCAGCAAUUGCAUAUGAAGAUUCUUGUUUGAUUUCCAAGAAGAAGGCUUUCAGUUGUCCAGGCCAGGCCAGGUGACCAAUGACGAUGAUAGAUCGGGUUCGAUUCAAGCUGUACGCUUGGUGUAUUUGGUUAUCGUGACUGGCGACUUGAGUCUAUCUCAUCUCAUGUCCAAAGCACGGUGGCUGGGUCCCAGGCAUGCUUGCCACUUUGUUCCACGGUCCUCAUCUAAGUUUCGACGGUGAUGACAUGGACUUAGGUUCAAGGAACGUGUUCCCCUUGAGUCAUUGUGGUUGAUUGAUCGGGGCAAUAAACAGUUGCGUGUCGCAAGUCAUUCACAAUAUCCCCUUGUUUUAGAGUGUUGAUGGGAUAAGUCUUACGACUGUUAACAAUAGUAAGCAAUAGCCGGCCGGCAACCCCCUACCUGAUAUCGAGGGGGAUGGAAUGACUGGGGUUAUAUGCCUGUUGUUUAACCUACGGAAUUUCGUCGGACGAAAUGUCAAGCGUGUCCGUGUGGUACUUGUGCUAAACCAGUUUAGUACUAAUGACGAAGACAUUGGGCUCUUUGAAUAACAACAUGGUUCUUGACCUUGUGCCUCACAAAGCUAAUAAUAUACACCCCCUGAAAUUGACAAGACGGCGAUAAAGAAGGAGAGUCGACCUUCAACUCGUCAGCCGAGAAGACACUAAAUGGACCCCGAGAAGAUGUUGCUGCCAAUGUUGGAGCCAUACAGGGCAGCCGGAGCCAACAUUGUACAAGGGCCACAAGGAAAAGGGACACAAGGACAAGGGGCACAAGAACAAGGGACACAAGAACAAGGGACACUAGAACAAGGGAAACAAGGACAAGGGACACAAAAGACGAUGUUGCAGUCUACAGGCUAUGCAGAUGACUGGAGAUGAUGGCUGUUGAGUUAACCCAAUGACUUUCACCAUGAUCUACGAUGCGUACUGAAGCAAGAACGACUCUCAAAGACCCAGAAAACAACAGAUGCCAACACUUCGCCCCAUGAUAAGAUGCCUUCAUACCCAUCCAUCGACAAUUUGGGCAAGACAGCCUAAUUGACCUUCAUGGGGAUCUUCCUGGCAGAUGUUGUAUGAGGAAGGAUUCAAUGUGUAUACACCAUGCUUGGAUGAGGGACUGAGAGUCGGGUAGAUUCAAUGGAUGGAAUCGUCUCGCUCAGGGAUAUCGGCGGUGGACACUUACAUUGUGUGUCAUUCGAAUAGACUUUAAUGACAAUCGAAAUGAUGCUCUAAGGGGACUCUGAUGACUCUAAGGACAUAGAGCCCUUCUUGUUACGUAGUGUGAUGCCAUAUCCAGCAGCCACCAUUGAGCCAGCUCAUCUGUUACAUAUGGAUGGAUGCCAUCUCAAACGGAGAUGAGCCAUCCCACAGGAGGGAGGAGGAUGUUGCUGAGCCAGCGCAUCUCUACCAUGCUCCCGUCGCCGUCAAGGAGGUUCGAUUUUUGUCACCGUAAGCCUUACCCUUUUAUUGCAAUAUCUGAUUGAAAGGUGAUUUGAUAAAAAUCCUGAUAUUUUGGUUCCUGAUUGCAAGAGGGCAAUUAUUUGCCUUCUUUCGGGCAAUGACAAACUCUUGCCAUCGCUCAAAAUCGUACACAAGAAGAAUUUAGAAAAUGGGGGAGGGGGUAAUAAGGUAACCAGGGCAUGUCACAAGCCCAGAAAUUAUUUUCUCACAAACAAAAUUGAUAAGAAAAAUCAAAAUGUGGAUGGGAUGUUCUGACUAACAGGACAGCCAACAGGGUUGGUACCCAAACAAAACAUUUGCAAUAGCCUAGGGUUCAUUAGAACCGUACAGGCUGCUUUAGAUUUGAAAAAAGAUCUUUCUGCUUACAAAAUCACUGAAUUCAUCAGAUAUUGUUUUUGAUUAUGUCCAUCAUAUGAGACAUGGGGUUCACAAGACAUUCGCUUUGCUCUGACCCCAGGCAAAGCGAAUGACCAUGUGUGUCUUGAUGGAACCACAGGCCUUUUUACUGUUUCUUGAUCUCUUCAGUACCACAGAAUCCACCGACUUUUAAACACCACCUGGGCCAAGGCGCCAAAGAUCCUUCGUAUCAUUGGCUGGCUCAGUUGCUCAGUGUCUUUACCUUCAUACUUGAGACAACUGACAAAAAUCUGGUGAAUUUUAUUUGCUAGUCACUUUUUAAUCAAUACCUGUGAACAAAAAAAUCACGGGAUGCAAAACAUCUUUUCACCAAUUUAACUGAUAAGUUUUGUCAAUAAAACUAUUGUUUAAAAUAUUAAGAUAUUAAACUAUUGAAAUAGCAAUGUGUCAAUAAAACUAUUGUUUUAUUGAAACUUAUCCGAAUAAGACUGGUUCUUGAUCCUACCCAUAGCGGUCUUACAGAAUCAUGUUCUGGAGGUUAUGAAAGAUAUUAUUUUGGCCCAUCAAGAAAAUUUUUAAUGGACUUGGUAAUGGUACUGAAUGAUUUGAGAAAAGUGUAACGUCAAUUUGUAAGACGUUUUAUAUUGUCAUAUAUGUAUGUAAUUAUAUUUGUAAUGCAUGUAAAUCUUGUAAGUAAAAUAAAAGAGAUCUAAGACUCAACUUGCAAAGAACCUGGCAGACCAACAUCCAGUCUUGCCAGGUCAAAGCUACCUCUUUUUUUGUCAUGCAAAUAUAUGUCACCUCUGCUCCUUUUGUCAUGCUAAUUGGCAGUUCCUGGCCAUGAGAAAUGUGGUUCUUUUGUUAUUCAAAUUGGGCCCUAAACCUGUUUAGUCAUGGAUUAAUGAGAGCAAGUGACCUUACCUAUUGUUCAUUGAACAUGGCUCAACUUUGUAAUGCAUGUAAAUCUUGUAAGUAAAAUAAAAGAGAUCUAAGACUCAACUUGCAAAGAACGUGGCAGACCAACAUCCAGUCUUGCCGGGUCAAAGCUACCUCUUUUUUUGUCAUGCAAAUAUAUGUCACCUCUGCUCCUUUUGUCAUGCUAAUUGGCAGUUCCUGGCCAUGAGAAAUGUUGUUCUUUUGUUAUUCAAAUUGGGCCCUAAACCUGUUUAGUCAUGGAUUAAUGAGAGCAAGUGACCUUACCUGUUGUUAAAACAUGUACAAUAGCUAAAACGUGUAUAUGAUGAAUGCAUGCAGAGCUCAUUGUUGGAAUUGUUGAGUCAUCUCGUGUAAAUUCAGCAGUCUUUUUUGGACAUUUUAAAGGAGAACAUGUGUGAUAGUACAAUGUUUGAUAGUACAAUUAUCACCACGUCUCAUCCUUUAAAGGGCAUUGGAGUGGUAAAGUGACUAUAAUCGAUGGAAAGUACACCAGUUUUUGCACAUUUUCUCAAAAAUCCUAUUGAACCCAAAUUUUCACCAAUGGUGGAGAAUCUUCUUGGCUAUCGAAUGAUAUCAUAGUUGA